UCCUGACUGACCGAUAGUGAACCAGUACCGUGAGGGAAAGGCGAAAAGAACCCCGGCGAGGGGAGUGAAAAAGAACCUGAAACCGUGUACGUACAAGCAGUGGGAGCACGCUUAGGCGUGUGACUGCGUACCUUUUGUAUAAUGGGUCAGCGACUUAUAUUCUGUAGCAAGGUUAACCGAAUAGGGGAGCCGAAGGGAAACCGAGUCUUAACUGGGCGUUAAGUUGCAGGGUAUAGACCCGAAACCCGGUGAUCUAGCCAUGGGCAGGUUGAAGGUUGGGUAACACUAACUGGAGGACCGAACCGACUAAUGUUGAAAAAUUAGCGGAUGACUUGUGGCUGGGGGUGAAAGGCCAAUCAAACCGGGAGAUAGCUGGUUCUCCCCGAAAGCUAUUUAGGUAGCGCCUCGUGAAUUCAUCUCCGGGGGUAGAGCACUGUUUCGGCAAGGGGGUCAUCCCGACUUACCAACCCGAUGCAAACUGCGAAUACCGGAGAAUGUUAUCACGGGAGACACACGGCGGGUGCUAACGUCCGUCGUGAAGAGGGAAACAACCCAGACCGCCAGCUAAGGUCCCAAAGUCAUGGUUAAGUGGGAAACGAUGUGGGAAGGCCCAGACAGCCAGGAUGUUGGCUUAGAAGCAGCCAUCAUUUAAAGAAAGCGUAAUAGCUCACUGGUCGAGUCGGCCUGCGCGGAAGAUGUAACGGGGCUAAACCAUGCACCGAAGCUGCGGCAGCGACGCUUAUGCGUUGUUGGGUAGGGGAGCGUUCUGUAAGCCUGCGAAGGUGUGCUGUGAGGCAUGCUGGAGGUAUCAGAAGUGCGAAUGCUGACAUAAGUAACGAUAAAGCGGGUGAAAAGCCCGCUCGCCGGAAGACCAAGGGUUCCUGUCCAACG
This 891-nucleotide ribosomal RNA is filed under the name Escherichia coli. RNAcentral describes it as "partial 23S ribosomal RNA". It matches the Rfam family "Bacterial large subunit ribosomal RNA", at positions 474 to 1364 of the family's 2925-position model. Lineage: Bacteria; Pseudomonadati; Pseudomonadota; Gammaproteobacteria; Enterobacterales; Enterobacteriaceae. RNAcentral also lists the same sequence under 1 other name. The record is from RNAcentral.